Molecule: long non-coding RNA, 3046 nt
Filed under: Sparus aurata (gilthead seabream)
Lineage: Eukaryota; Metazoa; Chordata; Actinopteri; Spariformes; Sparidae
Description: lncRNA (ENSSAUG00010003079.1)
Source: RNAcentral
GAUAGAUAGAUAGAUAGAUUUUUUUUAAUAUCGUCUUUAACUCUGAAGGGUAAUUUCCGGAUGUGGUUGCUUCCGGACCAGAAUCCGUUUGAGAGGAUGUCGGCUGUUGAUGAACAGUUAUUUCUGCUUCUUUAGUUUUUUUUAUUACGUUGUCGGUGGAGGAAACACACUUGGGGUUUUUUAUGUGUUUGUAUCGAUCUCUGUUUGUUCUUCCGGUUCCUGUUCCGUCCCGUGCUGGUUUUUGAGAGAGCCGAGGAGAAAUGGAAACAACUUCACCACCACCACCACCUCCUCCAACCCUCGUGAUGCAGCAAAGUAGGAAAAGUACUCGGCCGUGCCCUAAACAUGCUGCACUGCCAUUUAGAGACCCUCCUGUCCAAGAGACAAGGCCCCCACCAGAGACUCAGCAGGAUGCACCAGCUAUACUGCCACCCCCAGUGCAAAAUGGAUCUGUGUUUCCAGCGUCAGAAAGGCCAGAUGACAGUCCAUACGAUAGUGGGGAGAAAUCCGGUCCAGUGCAGGAAACUGAACCUGCACCACAGACAUCUCCUGGUCCACAGAUAACAGAGACGCGAGUUGAAGCAGCGGUUCAGAUGGACCUGGCUGCAGAGGACUGAUCGCCCUGAAGCACUUUAGUUACUAGUUUGUUUAGUUAUCAAUUAGCGGUGCUUGAAAAUGAUGUUUUGAAUUGUACUGAGUAGGGCUGGGCGAUAUGGACUAAUAGUCAUAUCCCGAUAUAUUUAGGCUGAAUAUCGAUAUACGAUAUAUAUCCCGAUAUAUUUAUGCAAAGUGAGAGCAAAUGUUCAGUCAAAGUCAAAGCCAAAUAUGACAUGUGGGUGGGAAUUUCGUCAUUUUAGGGGCAAGUCCAUUUGGCCUUCACUUUUUUUUUUUCAGGGGCACCAAGGCCACAUGACAGGGCACAAAGGCCACUGAGUAAAAUUUGUUGAUUUACCUUUCAGACUGUACCAUAACAUCCUAAUUUAUAAUAAGAAAUGGAUUAUGUAUUAAAACAUUAUUUAAAUACCAAAAUCAAUAAUGUUACAUUACAAAAGUUUUUUUUUAAGUAGGGUUAGGGUGAGGUGAGUUUUGUGACACUACACUGAAUAUUAGUGUUACUGAAUAUUUCUCCCAAAUAGAAAUUCCCCCAAAUUAUGGCAAAGCACAUUUUUUCCAAACAAAAAAAUUGUAGAAUAACCAGCAGGAGACCACUGAUGUGUGGAGUGAUUUUGGUGACACUAGACUCUGAAUAAUAGUGAAGUUAUUGAAUAUUUUUUGUAGUUUCUCUUUUCAGUGUUGCACUUUGUAGACGGUCCCUGCGCCCUCGUCUCACAGACGGCUGACCAUACAGACCAGAGUUAAUGUCCAGACGCUCGUUUGGAUGAAAAUACGGUUGUAGCUCGUUGUCUUCCUUACUACCGUAGGAAAGAGCCGUCAGAUGUGUUUUAACAAGGUUUCACUUAUGAGUUAUUGAUCCGGGAAGUUAAAAUCUGUGAAUAUAUUUCCAACUUUACCGGACUAAAUCCUACCACAUAAGUCAGUCACGUAUCAUGUCAAAACCGGCUGAGCUCGCUCGCUGUGCUGUAAGUUUCGUUCUUCUGUUUUGAGACGCUGCUGCUGUGUGAGAGGCUUUCACGUGAGAUCAUCGUGAUGAUGAGACUCCACCUGCGCGAACCGCGAACUCACUGAAGUUACUGUGAGUGACCUCUGUGCACUCAGGUGGCUGUAAUUCAGGGCAAGCUCGCUACGCUGUCCGGUGGCCGUGCGAUGAUUUUUUUUUCACGGGGCAUCAAGGCCAAAGUGCGGGGCAACGGCGGCCACCAAAGUGUUUGUUGAAGAGUGCCGGAGUGUCUGUUCCAGCCCCUCCCUUCUUUGUGCAUGAACGAGGAGGGGCGCGGGGAGCAGUGCAGAGAGCUCCGGGUCAGCGGCUUGCCUGGAGCAAGGAUCACAGCGCAAAUUUGAACUAUAUCGAUGUAUGCGAUAUGGUCUAAUUUCAUAUCACAUUUAAAAAAUAUAGCGAUAUAAGUUUUAUAUCGAUAUAUCGAUAUAAGUUUUAUAUCGAUAUAUCGCCCAGCCCUAGUACUGAGACACUGUAACUAAGGAACACCCAAGUGAGCACAUUACUUUAUGUUCAGGCCAAAAACCUUUUGAUAAUCAUUCAGCCUUCAGUCAUCAUCAUCAUCAUCAUCAUCAUUUCUCACAGCUAAAUUGGUCAGUUAGAGCUUUGCUUUUUUCAUACAUAUUCUAGCCAUAUACUUUAUAGUGCCUUUGACCAAACUGAGCUUAGAAUAGAUAUUUCAGUGAUUUAAAAUUUUAGUGAUGUACCUUCCGACCUGUUGUUGUUGCCAGUGUUUAACUUUAUAUAUAACUAAGAAAAGCAAAGACACAUUUACCGGACAGGGAAAUGUUUUAACUGACCUGUACUCAGGACUUCUGCACCUCUGCAGCUUCAUUUCAAAGCCUUCUGUUUUAAUCUGCCUCGUCUGAGUUCUAUUUUUUGUAAUUGUGAGCAAUACUAAAUUGUGGUACGCCUUUAUUUAAAGCAUAUUAUUUAAGCUUAGAGAACUUAAAUUUAAUGUAUAUUAUCAUUUGAUUGUGUUUAUUCAAAUGAACAUUUGGUGCGUUUUUGCAACUUCUCACAAUUAAACUUGAUCCUGCUUUGCACACUCUGUUUCUUUGUGUUACUGCUGAAAAGAAAGUUUAUAUAGACAUGUUGUUAUGUCAAAAAUGAUGUAAAUGCUAAAUGUAACUAAAAGUCUACAGCAAUGCCUCUGUUAGGUUGUAUUUCUUAGGCUGGACGGUGCCAACAUGCUCACAAUGACAAUGCUAACAUAAAAAAACAAACAAAACACAAUGCAUGGAGUGCUGCUUGGAUGUAGAAAAAUGCUAAUAUGUUGAUGUGGAGCAGUUAUAUAUAUGUUUACCUGAGUUUAAUUCAGAAGUAUUCUAAUAUUUGCAAAUACACACUAAAGUGCAAGUGCACCUGAAGCAGAUGGGAAUGGCUAAUUAUCUGUCAUUUUUUUCAACCAAAUUACUGGAUGGAUUUAAA